RNAcentral lists this ribosomal RNA (509 nucleotides) under uncultured bacterium. Its description in RNAcentral is "bacterial SSU rRNA". It matches the Rfam family "Bacterial small subunit ribosomal RNA", at positions 28 to 535 of the family's 1533-position model. The record is from RNAcentral.
GAUGAACGCUAGCGGCAGGCUUAACACAUGCAAGUCGAGGGGCAGCACGUCUUCGGAUGGUGGCGACCGGCGCACGGGUGAGUAACGCGUAUGCAAUCUACCUUUUACAGGGGCAUAGCCCGGGGAAACCCGGAUUAAUAUCCUAUAGUACCAUUAUAUAGCAUUAUAUUAUGGUUAAAGUUUCGGCGGUAAAAGAUGAGCAUGCGUCCUAUUAGCUUGAUGGUAAGGUAACGGCUUACCAUGGCUAUGAUAGGUAGGGGUCCUGAGAGGGAGACCCCCCACACUGGUACUGAGACACGGACCAGACUCCUACGGGAGGCAGCAGUGAGGAAUAUUGGACAAUGGGCGCAAGCCUGAUCCAGCCAUGCCGCGUGCAGGAAGACGGCCCUAUGGGUUGUAAACUGCUUUUAUACGGGGAAGAAACACCCCUUCGUGAAGGGACUUGACGGUACCGUAUGAAUAAGGAUCGGCUAACUCCGUGCCAGCAGCCGCGGUAAUACGGAGGAUCC